GAUGAACGCUGGCUACAGGCUUAACACAUGCAAGUCGAGGGGAAACGCCGGGGAAGCUUGCUUCCCCGGGCGUCGACCGGCGCACGGGUGAGUAACGCGUAUCCAACCUGCCUCUGACUGAGGUAUAACCCGUCGAAAGUCGGCCUAAUACCUCAUGGCAUCGUCUGCGGGUAUCCAACGACGAUUAAAGAUUUCAUCGGUCAGGGAUGGGGAAGCGUCAGAUUAGCUUGUUGGCGGGGUAACGGCCUACCAAGGCUACGAUCAGUAGGGGUUCGGAGAGGAAGGUGCCCCACAAUGGAACUGAGACACAGACCAAACUCCUACGGGAGGCAGCAGUGAGGAAUACUGGUCGAUGGGCGGGAGCCUAAAACAGCCAAGUAGCGUGCAGGAUUACGGCCCUCUGGGUAGUAAACUGCUUUUAGGCGGGGAUAAAGUGAGGGACGGGUCCUUGAUUGCAGGUACCGCAUGAAUAAGGACCGGCUAAUUCCGUG
RNAcentral lists this ribosomal RNA (491 nucleotides) under uncultured bacterium. Its description in RNAcentral is "partial 16S ribosomal RNA". It matches the Rfam family "Bacterial small subunit ribosomal RNA", at positions 28 to 507 of the family's 1533-position model. The record is from RNAcentral.